Gorilla gorilla gorilla (western lowland gorilla) is the source of this 109-nucleotide unclassified non-coding RNA. It matches the Rfam family "Y RNA". Rfam says of the family: Y RNAs are components of the Ro ribonucleoprotein particle (Ro RNP), in association with Ro60 and La proteins. The Y RNAs and Ro60 and La proteins are well conserved, but the function of the Ro RNP is not known. NCBI's taxonomy places the organism in Eukaryota, Metazoa, Chordata, Mammalia, Primates, Hominidae. The record is from Ensembl.
GGCUGGUCUGAAGUUAGUGAGUUAUCUCAAUUGAUUUUUCACAGUUACAGAUCAAACUUCCUUGUUCUACUCUUUCUCCCUUCUCACUACUGCACUUAAAUGGUCUUAA